CUGGCGGCGUGCCUAACACAUGCAAGUCGAGCGAGGAGAUCCUUCGGGAUGAUCCUAGCGGCGGACGGGUGAGUAACACGUGGGCAACCUGCCUCAUAGAGAGGAAUAGCCUUCCGAAAGGGAGAUUAAUACCUCAUAACAUUGCAGUUUCGCAUGGAACAGCAAUUAAAGGAGUAAUCCGCUAUGAGAUGGGCCCCGCGGCGCAUUAGCUAGUUGGUGAGGUAACGGCUCACCAAGGCGACGAUGCGUAGCCGACCUGAGAGGGUGAUCGGCCACAUUGGGACUGAGACACGGCCCAGACUCCUACGGGAGGCAGCAGUGGGGAAUAUUGCACAAUGGGGGAAACCCUGAUGCAGCCAACGCCGCGUGAGUGAUGACGGCCUUCGGGUUGUAAAGCUCUGUCUUCAGGGACGAUAAUGACGGUACCUGAGGAGGAAGCCACGGCUAACUACGUGCCAGCAGCUGC
This 466-nucleotide ribosomal RNA is filed under the name uncultured bacterium. Its description in RNAcentral is "bacterial SSU rRNA". It matches the Rfam family "Bacterial small subunit ribosomal RNA", at positions 36 to 518 of the family's 1533-position model. The record is from RNAcentral.